AAGUCGUAACAAGGUAACCGUAGGUGAACCUGCGGUUGGAUCAUUAGUAAAUUUCUUUACUAGUUGCGCUUUCACUAGCGCAUACACCUUAUGUGAACUGUUAUUGUCUUUGGCGGGUUGUGUGCUUGCUGUGUUUAGCUUUCCCUAAGCUAUCACCAAGUCGUCCACUUUUCUUAAGUGGCCAGCCCGUCGGUCGUUUGCCUUUUCAUAGGUAUUCGGCACUAUGAACUCUAUAGUUUAUUGUUUUGUCUGAUACUUGUCUGCGUAAGCAGCAUCUUGUUUCUUAAUUGAAAACAACUUUUGGCAACGGAUCUCUUGGCUCUU
This 324-nucleotide unclassified non-coding RNA is filed under the name fungal sp. Its description in RNAcentral is "partial internal transcribed spacer region". The stretch from base 1 to 46 matches the Rfam family "Eukaryotic small subunit ribosomal RNA", at positions 1786 to 1831 of the family's 1831-position model. Lineage: Eukaryota; Fungi. The record is from RNAcentral.